UCAUAGCUCAGCUGGAUAGAGCAACGGCCUUCUAAGCCGUAGGCUCAGGUUCGAAUCCUG
This 60-nucleotide transfer RNA is filed under the name Campylobacter concisus. It matches the Rfam family "tRNA", at positions 7 to 62 of the family's 71-position model. From Rfam's summary of the family: Transfer RNA (tRNA) molecules are approximately 80 nucleotides in length. Their secondary structure includes four short double-helical elements and three loops (D, anti-codon, and T loops). Further hydrogen bonds mediate the characteristic L-shaped molecular structure. tRNAs have two regions of fundamental functional importance: the anti-codon, which is responsible for specific mRNA codon recognition, and the 3' end, to which the tRNAs corresponding amino acid is attached (by aminoacyl-tRNA synthetases). tRNAs cope with the degeneracy of the genetic code in two manners: having more than one tRNA (with a specific anti-codon) for a particular amino acid; and 'wobble' base-pairing, i.e. permitting non-standard base-pairing at the 3rd anti-codon position. The record is from RNAcentral. Lineage: Bacteria; Pseudomonadati; Campylobacterota; Epsilonproteobacteria; Campylobacterales; Campylobacteraceae.